AUUGAACGCUGGCGGCAGGCCUAACACAUGCAAGUCGAACGAGUGGCGGCCGGGUGUGUAAUGUCUGGGAAACUGCCCGAAGGAGGGGGAUAACUACUGGAAACGAUAACUAAUACCGCAUACCAUCGGAUGUGCCCAGAUGGGAUGAGCUAGUGGGUGGGGUAAAGGCUCACCUAGGCGACGAUCCCUCGCAGGUCUGAGAGGAUGACCAGACACACCGGAACGGAGGCACGGUCCCGACUCCUACGGGAGGCGGCAGUGGGGAAUAUUGCACGAUGGGGGCAAGCCUGAUGCAGCCAUGCCGCGAGUAUGAAGAAGGCCUUCGGGUUGUAAAGGACUUUCAGCGGGGAGGCGUUACCCGCAGAAGAAGCACCGGCUAACUCCGUGCCAGCAGCCGCGGUAAUAC
RNAcentral lists this ribosomal RNA (406 nucleotides) under uncultured bacterium. RNAcentral describes it as "partial 16S ribosomal RNA". It matches the Rfam family "Bacterial small subunit ribosomal RNA", at positions 29 to 526 of the family's 1533-position model. The record is from RNAcentral.